RNAcentral lists this ribosomal RNA (253 nucleotides) under uncultured bacterium. RNAcentral's name for it is "partial 16S ribosomal RNA". It matches the Rfam family "Bacterial small subunit ribosomal RNA", at positions 524 to 776 of the family's 1533-position model. The record is from RNAcentral.
UACGAAGGGUGCAAGCGUUACUCGGAAUUACUGGGCGUAAAGCGCGCGUAGGCGGACCUGCAAGUCGGGGGUGAAAGCCCGAGGCUCAACCUCGGAACUGCCUUCGAUACUGCGGGUCUCGAGUCCGGGAGAGGUGAGUGGAAUUCCUAGUGUAGAGGUGAAAUUCGUAGAUAUUCGCAAGAACACCAGUGGCGAAGGCGGCUCACUGGCCCGAUACUGACACUGAAUAGCGAAAGCCAGGGGAGCAAACGGG